AUUGAACGCUGGCGGCAGGCCUAACACAUGCAAGUCGAACGAGUGGUGGACGGGUGAGUAAUGUCUGGGCAACUGCCUGAUGGAGGGGGAUAACUACUGGAAACGGUAGCUAAUACCGCAUACCAUCAGAUGUGCCCAGGUGGGAUUAGCUAGUUGGUGGGGUAACGGCUCACCAAGGCGACGAGCCCUAGCUGGUCUGAGAGGCUGACCGGCCACACUGGAACUGGGACACGGUCCAGACGCCUAUGGUAGGCAGCAGUGGGGAAUAGUGCACAAUGGGCGCAAGCCUGAUGCAGUCAUGCCGCGUGUAUGAAGAAGGCCUGCGGGGUGUAAAGUACUUUAAGCGGGGAGGCGGUACCCGCAGAAGAAGCACCGGCUAACUCCGUGCCAGCAGCCGCGGUAAUUC
Molecule: ribosomal RNA, 406 nt
Filed under: uncultured bacterium
Lineage: Bacteria
Description: partial 16S ribosomal RNA
Rfam family: Bacterial small subunit ribosomal RNA
Source: RNAcentral